Acanthosepion pharaonis is the source of this 103-nucleotide non-coding RNA. The record is from the annotation of a GenBank genome assembly. NCBI's taxonomy places the organism in Eukaryota, Metazoa, Mollusca, Cephalopoda, Sepiida, Sepiidae.
UCACGUUGAAAAACCGGAUUUCAUCUGAUCACUGAAGUUAAGCAACGUCGAGCCUGGUCAGUGCCUAGAUUGGUGACCGCUUGGGAAUGCCAGGUGCUGCAAG